GACGUAGGGCGCAAGCGUUGUCCGGAUUUAUUGGGCGUAAAGAGCUCGUAGGCGGCUUGUUGCGUCGGCUGUGAAAACCCGGGGCUCAACUUCGGGCUUGCAGGCGAUACGGGCAGACUUGAGUGUUUCAGGGGAGACUGGAAUUCCUGGUGUAGCGGUGAAAUGCGCAGAUAUCAGGAGGAACACCGGUGGCGAAGGCGGGUCUCUGGGCCGUAACUGACGCUGAGGAGCGAAAGCAUGGGGAGCGAACAGG
RNAcentral lists this ribosomal RNA (253 nucleotides) under uncultured bacterium. RNAcentral describes it as "partial 16S ribosomal RNA". It matches the Rfam family "Bacterial small subunit ribosomal RNA", at positions 524 to 776 of the family's 1533-position model. The record is from RNAcentral.